GUAAGGAAUAUUGGACAAUGGACGCAAGUCUGAUCCAGCCAUGCCGCGUGAAGGAUUAAGGUCCUCUGGAUUGUAAACUUCUUUUAUAAGGGACGAAAAAAGGCUUUUCUAAGUCGUCUGACGGUACCUUAUGAAUAAGCACCGGCUAACUCCGUGCCAGCAGCCGCGGUAAUACGGAGGGUGCAAGCGUUAUCCGGAUUCACUGGGUUUAAAUGGUGCGUAGGCGGGCAGGUAAGUCAGUGGUGAAAUCCUAGAGCUUAACUCUAGAACUGCCAUUGAUACUAUCUGUCUUGAAUAUUGUGGAGGUAAGCGGAAUAUGUCAUGUAGCGGUGAAAUGCUUAGAUAUGACAUAGAACACCUAUUGCGAAGGCAGCUUACUACGCAUAUAUUGACGCUGAGGCACGAAAGCGUGGGGAUCAAACAGGAUUAGAAACCCUAGUAGUCC
This 445-nucleotide ribosomal RNA is filed under the name uncultured bacterium. RNAcentral describes it as "bacterial SSU rRNA". It matches the Rfam family "Bacterial small subunit ribosomal RNA", at positions 354 to 796 of the family's 1533-position model. The record is from RNAcentral.